Molecule: long non-coding RNA, 911 nt
Filed under: Numida meleagris (helmeted guineafowl)
Lineage: Eukaryota; Metazoa; Chordata; Aves; Galliformes; Numididae
Description: lncRNA (ENSNMEG00000017382.1)
Source: RNAcentral
GUACAUGCUGGUUUUAUUCAUGCAUCAGUUUGUGCAGUGGAACUUAAAAGGAUUUUCUGCAUUAUUUUAGAACAUAUGCUGUACACCUUUUCCUCCCACGUGUUCUCUAUAUCCUGUAGAAUCUCUGGACAGAGAUCAUCUCUUCCCCUCCAGCUGAAAAAUGCAGUGUGUUGAAGAAGUAAAAAAAUUUAUUGCUGUGUUGAAGUUCACUGAAGGGAAUGGACUUCAUCAACAGUUUUCAUUGCAUGCCACCAGCAGUGUGCACUGUCACUCUCUUGGUACUUAGAUUUUUGACAAUAUUGUUGCUAUUUUUCAAGUAUGUUAUAUUUUAAAUAUGGUAGGAGCCUUUUCAGUUAAGAAAGAAUCUUAGCAACAAAAUGUUGUUUUGUUAAUUAAUAACUUUAGAAAACAGAGUUCGUAGAAAGGCGUCAUAUUUCUGGUGAAUUACAAUAGAAGUCUUUUUACUAAUCAUGUCUCAUAUUAAGUAUGUCUGCUAAUACACAUUCUGCAGUCCCUUCUUACUUUCCUAUGGGUUUAUGUUUUCACAGUCACUCACACACUAAUAGGCAGUAAACAUGCCACUGUUCAUGUGUACUUGGAUAUCUUCAAAAUGAUGCACCUGCCCUUUUUAUUUAUUUAUUUAAUACUCUAUUGGACAGCACAAAUUUCUGCACCAAACAGCUGUCCUAUCCUUCAUAAAUCCAGUGGAAAUUGACAUUUCAGUAUUUCACAGGUUAACUUAAUGUUAAUUAAAGCAUGAUUAUACACUCUUAUCCUUUGUAUUUUCAUGGAUUUUAUGCUAUUAUAAAAUCAAAGUAUUUCAGAAUACAAAUGCAUAUUUAAAUCCAAAUGUCAGACUACUGAAUAUGAAUACAAAUAAAAGGACACGUACAAGACUGGUUUAUUGUGAU